RNAcentral lists this ribosomal RNA (701 nucleotides) under Pseudallescheria ellipsoidea. Its description in RNAcentral is "eukaryotic LSU rRNA". The stretch from base 300 to 453 matches the Rfam family "5.8S ribosomal RNA". The record is from RNAcentral. Lineage: Eukaryota; Fungi; Ascomycota; Sordariomycetes; Microascales; Microascaceae.
CUCCGGACUGGCCCAGAGAGGUGGGCAACUACCACUCAGGGCCGGAAAGUUGUCCAAACUCGGUCAUUUAGAGGAAGUAAAAGUCGUAACAAGGUCUCCGUUGGUGAACCAGCGGAGGGAUCAUUACAGAGUUACUACUCCAAACCCAUUGUGAACCUUACCUAUGUUCUGUUGCCUCGGCGGCGUCGGUCAGCGCCCCCUCUGAGAAAGAGGACGAUGCCCCUCCCGCCGGCAGCACCAAACUCUUUGAAUUUUACAGCGGAUUACAGUUCUGAUUUGAAAACAAAAAAACAAGUUAAAACUUUCAACAACGGAUCUCUUGGUUCUGGCAUCGAUGAAGAACGCAGCGAAAUGCGAUAAGUAAUGUGAAUUGCAGAAUUCAGUGAAUCAUCGAAUCUUUGAACGCACAUUGCGCCCGGCAGUAAUCUGCCGGGCAUGCCUGUCCGAGCGUCAUUUCAACCCUCGAACCUCCGUUUCCUCAGGGAAGCCCAGGGUCGGUGUUGGGGCGCUACGGCGAGUCCUCGCGACCCCCGUAGGCCCUGAAAUACAGUGGCGGUCCCGCCGCGGUUGCCUUCUGCGUAGUAAGUCUCUUUUGCAAGCUCGCAUUGGGUCCCGGCGGAGGCCUGCCGUCAAACCACCUAACAACUCCAGAUGGUUUGACCUCGGAUCAGGUAGGGUUACCCGCUGAACUUAAGCAUAUC